Molecule: transfer RNA, 73 nt
Filed under: Gadus morhua (Atlantic cod)
Lineage: Eukaryota; Metazoa; Chordata; Actinopteri; Gadiformes; Gadidae
Description: tRNA-Phe (GAA) (tRNA-Phe-GAA-5-1)
Rfam family: tRNA
About the family: Transfer RNA (tRNA) molecules are approximately 80 nucleotides in length. Their secondary structure includes four short double-helical elements and three loops (D, anti-codon, and T loops). Further hydrogen bonds mediate the characteristic L-shaped molecular structure. tRNAs have two regions of fundamental functional importance: the anti-codon, which is responsible for specific mRNA codon recognition, and the 3' end, to which the tRNAs corresponding amino acid is attached (by aminoacyl-tRNA synthetases). tRNAs cope with the degeneracy of the genetic code in two manners: having more than one tRNA (with a specific anti-codon) for a particular amino acid; and 'wobble' base-pairing, i.e. permitting non-standard base-pairing at the 3rd anti-codon position.
Source: Rfam by way of RNAcentral
GCCGAAAUAGCUCAGUUGGGAGAGCGUUAGACUGAAGAUCUAAAUGUCCCUGGUUCAAUCACUGGUUUCGGCA